Camelus ferus (Wild Bactrian camel) is the source of this 47-nucleotide regulatory RNA element. It matches the Rfam family "Histone 3' UTR stem-loop". Rfam says of the family: The mRNAs of metazoan histone genes lack a poly-A tail. The record is from Rfam. NCBI's taxonomy places the organism in Eukaryota, Metazoa, Chordata, Mammalia, Artiodactyla, Camelidae.
CCAAAGGCUCUUUUCAGAGCCACCCACAGUUUUCCACGAAAGAGCAU